Molecule: long non-coding RNA, 1216 nt
Organism: Oncorhynchus kisutch (coho salmon)
Lineage: Eukaryota; Metazoa; Chordata; Actinopteri; Salmoniformes; Salmonidae
Exons: 2
Source: RefSeq, a predicted model, not a curated record
AGUCAGUGAAACGCCCCUAAUUAAUAUUCAGCCAUACUGACUUUCAUGACGGCAAAGCACGGCAGAAAGGCAAAAAAAAGAAAUUGAAGUUCUUGAAGGGGAGGUUGAAGCAAGAACAAAUAUAUUGUUUGGUGGACACAGUGUGGGCAUUACAAAUGCCAAAAAGCGUUAGUGGCAGCAUGUGGCGGACGCUGUGAAUGCAGAAGGUAAAAAGACGUGGUCCGACAAAAGUGGAGGCCGAAAGGCGCAUAGCUGUACACAGACAGUGUUUGCCACGAACCGGGACACCGGAGCUCAACCCCCUUGAUGGGCGACUUGCCAGUUUUAUAGGGGAAUCCCACCUGAGUGGAGUAGCGACGGAGGAGGACACGGACAUGCAGGACGUACCGGAUGACCCAGUCCCUGAGUGUUCCAGCGGGGCCGGUGGUGCUGCAGCUGAGUAAGAGCUGAGUGCCCGGUGGUGCUGCAGCUGAGUAAGAGCUGAGUGCGCCUCCACUGCAAACCCAGAGACACCAUCGACGCUAUUAACGAGGUUGCCAAGGAAUUGAAGUGGGACAGGCACGGCUUGGUUUCUGCGGGUGUAACCGAUGUAAAAUUGUUAGUUAGUGGGGUGCGCGCUAACAGCGUUUCAAUCGGUGACGUCACUCGCUCUGAGACCUUGAAGUGGUUGCAGAGGGUCCAUGGUUCGAGCCCAGGUUGGGGCGAGGAGAGGGACGGAAGCCACACUGUUACAUGGGUGCUUCUCUGUAAAGCUGGGCCCAGUACAGCACAGAGAUCCAAGAGAACAGUUCUUGGUAAUUGGAACCGGCUCAUAAGCCACUCAUUGGGCAGUAAAUCUUCCAUUCGCCAAAUCUUUUGACAGUGCUAAUGCAGCCAUUGUGCGUCGUUACGCAUUGUAAUUGCAUGCCUUGUUAUACCCACCCAUUUGAUUGUCAAAGCUACCCAAUUGCGUAACACCGUCAGGUGUGGUAAUUACCCUGAUUGUAACUGACAAUGACAGGGCCAUUAUCACAUUGACAGUUUUGCGCAACGAACAUGUGACAUAUCUGCCCGACUGAGGCAUUGAAAACAGCAUCAGUUUAAACGUAAUUUGUCCUACUGUUCACCUUAUUAUUUAUGAGCAUACAUUUCAUAACAUUCAAGUAUGGUUUAAUAAUUAUGGAGCCAAUUAAAUAUGCUUCCCGAUUAAACUGUACAACAUAUUUGAGGGUUUAUU